This 396-nucleotide ribosomal RNA is filed under the name uncultured bacterium. Its description in RNAcentral is "bacterial SSU rRNA". It matches the Rfam family "Bacterial small subunit ribosomal RNA", at positions 28 to 428 of the family's 1533-position model. The record is from RNAcentral.
GACGAACGCUGGCGGCGUGCUUAACACAUGCAAGUCGAGCGGUAAGGCCCUUUCGGGGGUACACGAGCGGCGAACGGGUGAGUAACACGUGGGUGACCUGCCCUCAGCUCUGGGAUAAGCCCGGGAAACUGGGUCUAAUACUGGAUAUGACUCCAUGACGCAUGUUGUGGGGUGGAAAGCCUUGUGCGGCUGAGGAUGGGCCCGCGGCCUAUCAGCUUGUUGGUGGGGNGAUGGCCUACCAAGGCGACGACGGGUAGCCGGCCUGAGAGGGCGACCGGCCACACUGGGACUGAGACACGGCCCAAACUCCUACGGGAGGCAGCAGUGGGGAAUCUUGCGCAAUGGGCGAAAGCCUGACGCAGCGACGCCGCGUGAGGGAUGACGGCCUGGUUGUAA